This 253-nucleotide ribosomal RNA is filed under the name uncultured bacterium. Its description in RNAcentral is "partial 16S ribosomal RNA". It matches the Rfam family "Bacterial small subunit ribosomal RNA", at positions 524 to 776 of the family's 1533-position model. The record is from RNAcentral.
UACGUAGGGUGCAAGCGUUAAUCGGAAUUACUGGGCGUAAAGCGUGCGCAGGCGGUUUUGUAAGUCUGUCGUGAAAUCCCCGGGCUCAACCUGGGAAUUGCGAUGGAGACUGCAAGGCUAGAAUCUGGCAGAGGGGGGUGGAAUUCCGCGUGUAGCAGUGAAAUGCGUAGAGAUGCGGAGGAACACCGAUGGCGAAGGCAGCCCCCUGGGCUAACACUGACGCUCAGGCACGAAAGCGUGGGGAGCAAACAGG